GAGAGAACCAAGAGCUGGCAAAGUCUACUCUGGAUAUGGACAUGUAAACUUGAUUCUAGAAGUUUGUUGACCCAGAGGACUUACCCACAACUUUAAUCUUGAUGCUUGCAUGUGCUUCCCCGGCUUCAUUUUUCAGAUUUAUGUGGUAAACACCAGAGUCAUCUCUUUCAGCGACGUCAAUAACCAGAGUGCUGCUGUCAGGGUAAGAUUCUGCUCUUAUCCGGCCACUGCCCUCCAUAAUAGCCUAAGGAGGAGAGAAACAAAAUACGGCAUGACCUAUAUGACAAGGACUAUUCCAAAGUACCUUAGAACUUAAGCUGGAUGUGGUGCUAAGGCCUAAAAUACAUGUUCUUAAUGUAAUCCUCCACCAACCCUAAAGAUAAAGGUGUUAACAUCCCAUAUUACAGGAGAAAGCUGUGGCUCAGGGCCACAUGGCUAACAAUGAGAAGAACUGGGAUUUGUCUCCAAAGCCCACUAAGCACGAACCCACCAAAGAGAAAGCUGGAGGACUAAAAAUAGGAGUGCAGAAGUGUUAUUUUAGUAGAGGAGUCUCUUUGUACAUGAAAUUAAAUAUUUAAGAACUAAUCAUGACUUGCUUAUUUAUGUGUCUUGAAAAUUUAGAAAUACUGAAAAGGGUUGAAGAAGACCACAAUGCCAGUUUUCCUUACAAGUUAUUGAGUAUUGAUUUUUCCCUUCUAAUAGGACAGAAUGAAUGAAUGAAUAUCUAAUUCCCAAAGUAAAGACAGAGUGAGGUUGGGCCUUCCAUUAUAUUUUCUUUCUUUAUUUUCUCUUUCUCCUCCUCUUCAUCCUUUUCCUCCUUUUUCUCCUUUUCUUCUACCUCACUUCUUUCCUUCUUUCUUUCUUAAACCAGAAAUUUGAAGUAGCAUUCCAUUUUUCUGAUUCCUAGGUCAUAUUUCCUAUAUGACAAUGAAUAGCCAGCAUACAAAGAGAAAAAACAGAGAAGGUCAAGGUAAUUUAGAAACUGGGUAAUUUUCUUAUAACUAUUAAAUUAACUCUUUACUUUUUUGUGUCUGGAUUAGGACUCAUAAGUCUUCAAUAACAUAAGAUUGUGAGAACAAUAAGAAUACCUGAGAUAGUUUUCAUUCUUCUGUUUUAUAAUAGAACAAAAUUUUCUCAUAUUAGCCAAAUUCAAAUCUUAAGAUUGUAAAAGAUUUUCUGCUUUAUUUUUAAUGUGAAAAGAAAAUACUUAGGGUGGUGUUGCAUUACCUUCUUUAGUUUUCUAUAUUUUGUUUGCUUGUCUGUUGUGCUAUAUAAUUUACAUAGAGUAAAAUUCACACUUUUUAUACAUAGAGUUCUGUGAAUUCUGACAAAUUUGUGUGAUUGUGUAACUACCACCACCACAAUCAAGAUACAUACCAUUUCCAUGAUCCCCAACAGUGUCCCCAUGUUCCUUCACUGUCAACUCAUUCACCCCUACACUCUGGUCCCUGGCAACCACCAAUCUGUUAUUUCUCUCUCUAGUUUUCCUUUUUCCAGAAUGUUCAUAUAACAGACUCAAACAGUAUGUAGCCUUUUGGAUCUGUCUUCUUUCACUCAGUAUGAUGCUGUUUAGAUUCAACCAUGUUGCUACAUGUAUUACUAGUACCUUCUGUUUUACUGCUGAGUAGUAUUCUAUUGUAUAUUCCAUGUGCAGUUGGGUUAUGCAUGUACAAACUGUAUGUUUGUACAAUUGGGCUUUUGGGUUGUUUCCAAGUUUUGACAAUUAUAAAUAAAGCUGUUAUAAACAUUUAUGUACAAGUUUUUGUGUGGACAUAUGUCUUCAUUUCUCUAGGGUAGAUAGCUAGGAAUUUCACUAUAGGAUUGUAUGGUAAAGUGCAUGUUUAACUUUAUAAAAAAAAAACUACCAAACUGUUUUCCAAAGUGGGUGGACCAUUUUGCAUUCCUACCAGUGAUGUAUGAGAGUUUGAUUGUUCCAUAUCCUUGUAUUUGGUAUUAGCAGUUUUUUAAAAUAAUUGUUGUUGUUGUUGUUGUUGAGCUUCUUUCAUUCAGCAUAAUUAUUCAUCCAAGUCGUUGCAUACAUCAGUAAUUCAUUCCUCUUUACUGUUAGUAGUAUUCCUUUAAUCCUUUUACAUUUGUUGAGACUUACUUAUGGUCUAUCUUAGACAUUUUCCAUACGCAAUUAAUUUUUUUUUAAUGUUUAUUAUUUUGAGAGAGACAGAGAGGCAGGGAGAGGGAACAAGCUGGGGAGGGGGAGAGUGAGAGGGAGACACAGAAUCAGAAGGAGGCUCCAGACUCUGAGCUGUCAGCACAAAGCCCCGUGAACUCACAAACUUGAGAUCAUGACCUGAGGCGAAGUCGGACGCUUGACCAACUGAACCAUACAGUCGCUCCUCCAUAUGCAAUUUUAAAAUAAUGCUCAUUCUGGGGGCGCCUGGGUGGCUGAGUUGGUCAAGCGUCCGACUUCAGCUCAGGUCAUGAUCUCAUAGUCUGUGAGUUCAAGCCCUGCAUCAGGCUCUGUGCUGCCAGCUCAGAGCCUAGAGCCUGCUUUAGAUUCUGUGUCUCCCUCUCCCUCUGCCCCUCCCCUGCUCAUGCUCUCUCUCUGUCUCAAAAAUAAAUAAAAGCAUUAAAAAAAUAUAUAAAAUAAUGCCCAUUCUGUAUGUGUCAUUGGAGUAUUCUGUAAAUGUCAAUUAGAUCAAGAUGGUUGCCAGUAUUGUUCACAUCUUAAAUAUCCUUACUGAUGGUCUGUCUUCUUGUUUUAGCAACUACUAAGAGAAGAGUAUUGAAAUCUCUAAUUUAUCUGUUUUUCUAUUGCAAUUUUUCUAUUGCAAUUCUAUUAUCUUGCUAUUUGUUUUCUACUUGCCCUGUUCUUUGUGCCUCUUUUUCUGCCUUCUUUUAGAUUAAUUAAAUAUUUUUUGUGAUUUCAUAUUAUAUCCUUUGUUGGUUUAUUAGCUAUAACUUUUUGUUCAUUAUUUUAGUGGUUCCUUUAGGGUUUAUGGUAUACAUCUUUAACUUUUCACAGUCUACUUUCAUGCGAUAUUACAACAAUACCUCCCUUUUCACCCUCCUAAUUCUUACUUUCCAUUCUUCUUUUUUUUUCUUGACCUUAUGUUUUUAUUGUCAUAAAUUUUACUUACAGUACAAACAACACAGUAUAUUAUUAUUAUUUUUUUAAACAGUCAAUUAUCUUUUAAAGAGAUUGAAAUAAUACAAAAAAACUCUUAUGUUUAUCCACACGGUUAUCAUUUCUGAUGCUCUUUGUUCCUUUGUGAAAAUGAUUCAACCUGACAUUAUUUUCCUUAUGACUUAAGGACUUCUUUUAGCAUUUCUUGUGGUGCAGGUCUGCCAGUGAUUAUUUCUUUCAGCUUUUAUAUAUCUGAAAAUAAUUUUAUUUUGCCUUUGUUUCUGAAAUUUUUACUCAGUAUAGAAUUCUAGGUUGAUAUAUUUUUUUAGGAUUUAUAGAAUUUUUUAGAAUUCAUAGUAUUCUAGGUUGACAGUUUUUUCUUUAAAGAUGUUGCCUCACUGUCCUCUCACUUGCCUUGCUUCCAGAGAGAUCUGCUGUCACUCUUUUCUUUAUUUCUGUAUAUUUAAUGUGACUUUUUUCCCUGUCUACUUAAAAACAUUUUUUUUUGUUAAUCAUAGGGUUUGAUCAAUUUGAUUUUAAUGGGUCUUGGUGUGGUUUUUUUCUUUUUUUCUUUAUAUUUUUUAUUUUUGUUAUUUAUUUAUUUAAUAUAAUUUAUUAUCAAGUUGGUGUGGUUUUAUUAAUGCUCUUUGUGCUUAGAUUUUAUUGAGCUUCUUAUAUCUGCAAUUUUAGUUUUUAUCAAAUUUGGAAAAUUUUAGCUCUAAUUUCUUUACAUAUUCUUCUGUCCUUCUCUUUGGGGACUCUAAUUACACAUACAUUUCACUGUUUCAAGUUGCUCCAAAGCUUAACGAUGCUCUUUGGUUUUUUCCUCCAGAAAACAGAAAAGGAAAAAACACUCUUCAACUCUUUUUUUUAAUUAAUAAAUUAUUUUGGGGGUCAGAUUUAGACUCACUGCAAAAUUGUGGAAAGUACAGAGAGUUCUCAUAUAAUCCCUCCCCCACACAAACCAACCUCCUCCACAACUGACAUCCCACAUCAGAGCAGUAUAUUUCUUAUAAUCAAUGAGCCUACACUGACACAUCAUUAUCAUUCAAAGUCUAUAGUUUACAUUAGGGUUCACUCUUAUGUUGUACAUCUGUGAGUUUUGCCAAGUCUAUAAUGACAUAUGUCCAUAAUUAUAAUAUCAUACGGAAUAGUUUUACUGCCCAUAACACAUUUUAUUUUAGGAGCCACAGAAUGACACUUGAGCUAGUACUAGUCUACCACCCAAUCUUAUUUAUUAUUUUCCUCCUUAUUCACUCUGACCCAGUCACACUGGCUUUUCUUCUGUUCCUUCAACACAUCAAGCUCAUUUUUUCCUCUCUUCUUGUCCUUUGCCCUUGCAUUGACUUUACCUGGAAAUCUUUUUCCUUUGAUCUUUGUAUAAUGGUUUCUUUGUCAUUCAUAGAGACUAUUGUCAUUUACCUUGCAAUCACUUGCUAAUCAUAUUACACUGUUUUAAAAAAAAUCUUCACAGCACUUAUUACUAUCCACAGUGAUUUUGUUCAAUUGUUUAUUUACUAAUUCAUUAUCUAUUUCUCUUCCACUUCAUUCCCUGACACUUAUUAGAAUGAAAAAUGGGAUCUUUACAGCACAUGAAAACAUGCCUGGUCACAUAGUAGGCAAUUAGAAAUAUGAAAAGUAGAUGACUGAUGAUUAUAUUUGCCUGAAAACCAGUGAUUUUUCUUUUUUUAAAAAUUUUUAAUCCUUAUUUAUUUUUGAGAGAGAGAGAGCUGUGAGCUGUCAGAGAGAGCUGUCACAGCUGUCAGAGCUAUGAGAGACAGCUCUGAACUGUCAGCACAGAGCCCGACACAGGGCUCUAACUCACGAUCAGUGAGUUCAUGACCUGAGCCGAAGUCGGAUGCUCAACCGACUGAGUUACCCAGGCGCCCCAAACCAGUGAUCUUUCUUAAUCCAAGGAAUUACAUCUAUACUGUACCCUUGUACAUUUAUUUGCUUUCUUCUUUCAUUUGACUAAUGGAAGGCAGGAGGUGUGGUGGGGUGUGUGUGUGUGUGUGUGUGUGUGUCUGUGUGUGUACUUAAAACAAACCUUAUCCGCUCGGCUCCAAAGGGCUUUGGGAGGUGGUUCUCCGGUGACAGGAAUUUCAAGACGAAGCUUGCUUCCUGCUAUUACUGUCACUGUAUUGUCAGCAUCAAGACCAUCCAGGAUGAUCUUAGGAGGAUCUAGAAUGUUAAAUAUGGCCUUUGUUAUCAGACAAUCAUUUCCAUGUGAAUAUCUGGGCCAGUACUUUGCUAGUGGUAAAUAUUGGUAGAACCAACAUUUUAUCUGGCCAAAAAGAAUAUAAGAGGAGUCAAAGUAGUUGGUGCCUGGCACCUUGCAAAGCUACUCCAUUGUAAGACUUCUUAAGAAUCAACUAUUAUGCUUAGUGACUUACACCAAUUCAUGUAUAUCACAGUUUUGAAUGUGUUAUAUUUCCAUGGUAAGCAAAAACAAAAAAACAAGAACACAACUCUGCAAUGAUUUAUCUACUCACCAACAACAUGAACUUUGGCAGGCAAAGUAACAGAGUAGGCAUCUGGUGCAAAUACAUAAUCACCUUCAUCCUCAGUAAGAGCAUUGGCUAUCACUAACUUGUGGAUUCUAAGGAAAUUAGAAAAACAUUUCUAAGAAUUUGCAAAGAUUUAGAUUGUAUAUGGCCCAACUGAAGAGACACCUGGACUUUAUCUGAUUAAGAGAUAAGCCUAUCUCCAGGCUGGAGAGAAAGACAGACCAAGAAACAGAGAGAGAGAAUAUAAAUGCGAAGGCUUAAUUAUCCUAUUUAUGGAUCUUCAUCAAAUAUUCAUUUUUGAGUAUAUGAAAUUAUUUGUACAAAUAUAGCCUGAUUAUUAUGCACACAAGAGUCUAAUAUUCCUUUUUCAUCACAUAGCUUUAAAAAAAGGCUAAAAUACAACAUCUCACUAGUGCCAUAAUUUAAGAUUUAAAAAAUUACCAAGAAUAUUCUUGAUUUUGGCAUUAUAUGCCAAAUCUAAAAGCAGUAGUUCUUAACUUUUUGGGGAUCAGCGAAUAUCUGAUGGACACCAUUGAUCCUUUCUCUGGAGAACAGUAUGUAUUUUUGUACACACAGACUUGGCUUACAACUUCAGAGGAUUUGUGGGACCCCCCUGGAGUACAUUCAUGAUCUUAACCAGAUUCACAACCAGGAUUCCUAGAUCCAAGUUUAAGAACCCUUGCCUUAGAUCUUUGCUAGAUUCUAGGAUAUUAUGUCUGCCCUCCAAAAUUGUGGGAAGGUCAUGUGGCACUUAUCGGUUAGGGACAGUUAAUCCAUUUGAUUGAAUCCAUAGGAUUCAGUAUCAUUCCUUUAACCUUCUGUUUAUAUGGAAAGAAUCAGUUGAUGGCUUGUUUUUCUUUUGCCCCUUUUUUUUGUUGUUGUUCAUUCGUUUGUCAUUGUUCUUUCUUUCUUUCUUUUUUUAAUUUAAUUUUUUAAAAUUUACAUCCAAAUUAGUUAGCAUAUAGUGCAACAAUGAUUUCAGGAGUAGAUUCCUUAAUGCCCCUUACCCAUUUAGCCCAUCCCCCCUCCCACACCCCCUCCAGUAACCCCCUGUUUGUUCUCCAUAUUUAUGAGUCUCAUGUCUUGUCCCCCUCCCUGUUUUUAUAUUAUUUUUGUUUCCCUUCCCUUAUGUUCAUCUGUUUUGUCUCUUAAAGUCCUCCUAUGAGUGAAGUCAUGAUAUUUGUCUUUCUCUGACUAAUUUUACUUAGCAUAAUAUUCUCCAGUUCCAUCCAUGUAGUUGCAAAUGAAAAGAUUUCAUUCUUUUUGAUUGCCAAAGUAAUUCUCCACUGUAUAUAUAUACCACAUAUUCUUUAUCCAUUCAUCCAUCGAUGGACAUUUGGGUUCUUUCCAUACUUUGGCUAUUGUUGAUAGUGCUGCUAUAAACAUUAGGGUGCAUGUGCCCAUUUGAAACAGCAUACCUGUAUCCUUUGGAUAAAUACCUAGUAGUGCAAUUGCUGGGUCAUGGGGUAGUUCUAUUUUUAGCUUUUUGAGGAACCUCCAUACUGUUUUCCAGAGUGGCUGCACCAGCUUGCAUUCCCAAGUUGAUGGCUUUUGAAUAGACAAAGUACCAUACCAUGAGGUGCAGAUAAAGGAUCACUGGUAGGACAUGAUAUAGAACAGAGAAGUCAGACAUUCUUGCUAUUUGGAAGCAAAGAACCAGAAGAAGAUCCUCUCUUUAUGACUACUCUCCAAACUUCCUCACCAAAUAUGUAAUUUAGGAAGUAGAGGAAGAGUGCAUACUGAGACAAGUUACAGAUCGCCUAACUUGCUUACCUUCCUUUGUGAAUGACCUUCAGACGGUCACUUUCUUGAACAGGUAGGCCAUUUUUAGUCCAUUUUCCUGAUAUGUUUUCAGAGAUUUCACACUUCAAGCAGAUUUCUUUUCCAAUGUUUACAGUUUGAUCAGUCAGAGGUGUCAAAAUCUUCAGAGGUUUCACUACAGAAACAAUAUUUAUAAGUGCCAAACCCAAACCCCAGACAGGCCAAGACGGUAUCUUGUUUUGAAAAUGAGAAUUUAUUCCAGUGCAAUUGAUAUAUUGGGGGACAACCAGAACAUAACACAAAUUUUGUGUUUGAUGAUGCAUGAUUUCAUUCAUGAAGAAGAGGAAAUGGCACCCAGGUGAACUGAGCCAGGUAGAACUGUACAAAAUGCACACACGCGUGUGCACACACACAUACACGUCAAACAUCUACCAGCUGCUUGAAUUCACCCAUGCAAUACAAACCAUACUCAUGCACAUCUGAGAUUACCAGUGUCCAUCCAAUUUCAAAUAACCUCUUCUCACCAUGUCACAGUAUCUCAGUAACCACAACACUCCCCACACUGCUUCCACAAGGAAAUUUUAGGUCUCAUUUAACAUAAAGUGCCAUAUUUAUUAACCAUUUGGCCUGUGUAAAACUGUGAUACUGUUUUUUAUUAGGUUCUUAUUGUUUUGUUUUAAUGUGUGGCUGACAAAACUUUUGAGUGUCAUGCCCAUAACUUCAUUUUGCCCAUUAGUUUUGUGGUUUUAUUGCAUAACUUUGUAUAGCAUAUUUAUUUUAGAAAUGCAUAUGUUGUAUUAUAGCAGAACUGACUGUAAUUGCUUUAAAUGGAUACAAAUAUCUGUCCAUGGCUGAAAAAACUGUUUUGGUAUUAAAGGAAAAUGACCACAACUCCGCGAUGCAUAAGGAGUGAGUGUAACUGAGAUAACUUCUGAAUAAUUCAGUGAUCCUAUGAAUCAUAAUUGGACUAAGAAAGAAGUAAGGAAGCAGGAUUUCUGCUCUGCAUGUGUUACUACCAAACUUCCUGUGAGAUUUGCUAUCUUAAUUUCCAUGGCCAGCUGGAAGAGACAGACUCUGCCAUUGAGGAGUGACUACUAUUUGGAGGUAUUUGGGGAAGUACAUAAAUUCUCUCAUGCUUCUGGAUCUUAGUAGCAAAUGGGUUCUUACAAUGUUCUCAUUUGAUCCCCCUUGGUUUGAGUAACUUCCUUCUCACUCCAAAUGUAAUUGCAGAAUGUUGAAUGUUUAUUUAAUGAAUUGAUAGCAAAUUCACUCAUGGGUUACACAAACAUUUUCAGGAUUUUAUAUUGUAUCUAAGUAUUUAUCAUCUACUUAUGUGGUCUUGGGAUUACAGUGCUUCUUAACCAUUUGGACCAUUUCUGUGGCAGGUGAUUUUUAUACUUCCUUCCCAAUCCUGUGUUUUACUAUUAAACUGAGUAGUCGAUUUCUUUUUCAGAGACCCUGACUGAUAUGACAUAGACACUCAGAAUGAAUCCAAUUUUACAUAUUUAAAAUUGCCACCAGUAGAAAUAAAAUAGAUAGAAACUUUCCUAAAAUGGAAUUAACAAAUGCAACACCAGUAGAUACGCAACUUGGAAGAUACCCAAGGAGAUCUUACUUACAGUCAACACUAAGUUUAGCAGAUGAUUGUCCUCCCGUUGUCAUUACAGAAUAUUCUGCACUGUCAGCCUUCGUUGCUCCCUCUAUGAUCAAAAUAUGUUUUUUGCCCUCAACUUUAAUUCGAUAUCUUGAUUUUGGACCAGGAAUAAUCUCCUCACCAUUCUUAAACCUGAGUUUAAAUAGAUUAUAAAAAGUUUUAUAAAAGACCCUUCAGGAAAUGGACCUUAUUGGUCUUGGUUUUGUUUUUUUUUUGCUUGUUUGUUUUUGUUUUUGCUAUAUCCUGGUAUCUAAGAACUAUUUUUUGAAUUAAAGAAUGUACGAUCACUACAUCAAAUGGAUUAAUAAUGUAACAAGGAUUGUCUAAAAAAUUACAUUAAAAGAACAUAAGCUCUUUCUUCUCAUUCAAGAUCAGUUGAAUAUGCUAUGAGAGAAUAUUACCUCUUCCACUCACUAAUAAGAAUUGCAUCACUUAAUAUGUUUUAAAUUUUUUAAUGUUUAUUUUUCAGAGAGACAGAGAGAGAGACAGAGAGAGAGAGAGACAGAGAGGCAGAGAGAGGGAGACAUAGAAUCUGCAGCAGGCUCCAGGCUCUGAGAUGUGAGCACAGAGCCCGAGACAGGACCAACCAUGAGAUCAUGACCUGAGCCAAAGUUGGAUGGUUAACUGGCUAGGCCAUCCAGGCGCCCCUCACUUAACAUGUUUUAAAGAUAGCUAUGAUUCUAGAGUAGAAUGAACAAUCUACUCUGUACCAAUUACCACAGAUUCAUGCUGUGUAAUUUACUAUACUUUUCAACAAAGCAUUUAAUUUUAUUAUGGAUCUCUUAGUUUUAAUUUUGACGUUACUCACAUAGAACUUGAGAAAACACUCUUUAACUGGACAAAAAAAUGAUUUUAUUUUUUAAAAUAAUUGGUGAUCCUUAGCCUAAAACAUUUUUCUGAGGUACUAUAAAAAUAAGGUAACUAGGGAAAAUUUAUAAUAUUUUUCCAUGUAAGUUGCCAGUGUGGCAUGGUGAGAGUAAGCAACUUUUGGAACUUAGGAGCAUCCGUGGGAUUUGGAGUCAAACAGAUCUGGACAACCAUGAGCUAUCCAUUUCUUACUAAGUGCCUACUUCCCUACAUUUACCAGUCUAAUUUUCUGGAUCAUUUUCUAGUUUCAUAGGUGAAAAAACUCCCAGCAUCUUUGUAGUUUUAGUUACCAUUUCUACUAACACAAAUGAGGUUGUGAUUUUUUUCAUAUGUGUAAAAGCCAUUUCCUGUUCUCCAAUCUAUAAAAGCAUAUUUUUAAAAAUCUAUUAAAAAUGGACAGACCUCAGGAAAGUUACUUACCAUUUCACAUUAGCAUCAUCUUCCGACACCUCACAUUCUAAUUCCACUCUUUCCCCGCAGUAAGCAUUCAUAUUUUCCAGCUGUUUGGUUACCAUAAUUGGAGGCUCUGUUUAAAAAAAAAAAAAAAAGGAGAAUCAGAAUCAUUAAAUGCUUGAAAUCUGCUCAUGACCACAGAUUUGUUCACAGAUAAAAGACCAACAGUAAGAAAGUAUCAUCUACCAUAGGGUUAUGGUUAGAUGGUGGUAGAUAGUUGGCAGAUGGUUUUUUGUUUUGUUUUGUUUUAUAUCUUUGUUGGCAAAAUAAAUAGUUAGCAGCCCUGGGUAAGUUUUCCCAAUUUUCUCAGACUCUUCAAAUCAAAUCAAUUAUUGUUCUGGAGAGCAGACAAAACAUGUAUCAAAUAUCCUUCCUUUGGCAAAUAAGAAACCACGUGGUAGACGUUUGUGAUGGAGGAUCUCUAACAGUAUGAUUCUUUGGUUCUGGUUGGAGCUCUGAUUGCAGAGCUCUCUGUAUUCAGAGGGCUUCAUCUACACCCUCCAGCUCUUUUCACAAUGUUUUAGUAAAAGAUUGUCUUCAGCACCCUCGGUGUCAACCAUUGAUUCCCUUUCACUAAUAAAACUGAUUUUGAGAGAAGUGUAUUUGCAAUCAGCUGAAUGUGUGAAAUGAGGAUUAUUCAGUAAAGUUUGUUGGGUUUCAGAAGCUAUAACUAGAAUAAUUAUACUGUUUGCUUGAGUCAAAAACAUGAGGUAUUUAGACUCACCAGUCUUCCCCCCCCCCCUCAGCUUUUCUAGUCUUCAACAAACUUAAAGAUUAAUUAGGAUACGUAAUAACAGCCAGUGUAGAGGAGCUUCCAUGCAGAGCCAGUCUGUCCCCAAGCAAACCCAUUUCUAGGCGUGCUGUUACCUGUGCCCUAGAGCUCAAGAGCUUACCUGUCCCACUCAUUUUGAUAACUACCCUUGGGAGAAGGAGUGCCAAAGGCUGUUGAAGACUACAGUAAGAGAUUGCACUUUACCUCGCACAAACAGCUCGGUGGAACAUUUCUCAUCACCAGCUGUCACAUAAUACUCUGAAUCAUCCGUUAGCGCACAGUUAUUGAUAAACAUGAUUCUUUCACAUCCUUUAUGCUCAAAGAUGUAUCUGUUUGAAAUGGGAGGGAGAUAACAGUCUGUGAACUUGA
RNAcentral lists this long non-coding RNA (11465 nucleotides) under Lynx pardinus (Iberian lynx). The record is from RNAcentral. Lineage: Eukaryota; Metazoa; Chordata; Mammalia; Carnivora; Felidae.